CCUACGGGAGGCAGCAGUGAGGAAUAUUGGUCAAUGGGCGCGAGCCUGAACCAGCCAAGCAGCGUGAAGGAAGACUGCUCUAUGGGUUGUAAACUUCUUUUAUACAGGAAUAAAGUGAGAUACGUGUGCCUGUUUGUAUGUAUUUUAUGAAUAAGGAUCGGCUAACUCCGUGCCAGCAGCCGCGGUAAUACGGAGGAUCCAAGCGUUAUCCGGAUUUAUUGGGUUUAAAGGGUGCGUAGAUGGGCUGUUAAGUUAGUGGUGAAAUCUUGCGGCUCAACUGCGGAAUUGCAUGUGAUACUGUCAGCCUUGAGAGUAGUUGAGGUAGGCGGAAUUCGUGGUGUAGCGGUGAAAUGCUUAGAGAUCACGCAGAACACCGAUUGCGAAGGCAGCCUACCAAGCUACCUCUGACGUUGAGGCACGAAAGUGUGGGGAUCAAACAGGAUUAGAUACCCUAGUAGUC
This 460-nucleotide ribosomal RNA is filed under the name uncultured bacterium. Its description in RNAcentral is "partial 16S ribosomal RNA". It matches the Rfam family "Bacterial small subunit ribosomal RNA", at positions 338 to 795 of the family's 1533-position model. The record is from RNAcentral.